AUGGAGCACCAGGGACACGGCACCGGCGAGAAGAAGAGCAUCAUGAGCAAGAUCAAGGCGAAGCUCUCCAGCAGCCACGGUGAUCACCAGCAGGCCGCUGCCACCCACGGGCAGCAGGGACACACCACUACGGGGACGCAUGGCACCCCGGCCACCGAUGGUGCCUACGGGCAGCACGGACACACCGGAGCCACCGGCACGGGGAUGCACGAUGCCGACACCGGCGAGAAGAAGGGCGUCAUGGAGAAUAUCAAUGACAAGCUCCCUGGUGACCACGAGGACCACCAGCAGACUGGUGGCACCUACGGUCAACCGGGGCAGACUGCCGCGGCGACGCAUGGCGCCUCAGUUACCGGCGGCACCUAUGGCCAGCAGGGAAACACCGGUAUGGAGACACAUGGCGCCCCGGCCACCGAUAGUGCCUCCAGGCAGCACGGACACACUGGGUCCACCGACACGGUGAUUCACGGCACCGACACCAGCGAGAAGAAGGACGUCGACAAGCUCCCUGGUGGCCAUGGGGACCACCAGCAGACUGGUGGCACCUACGGGCAGAAGGGACACACGGCCGCGGAACCGCAUGGCGCCUCAGCAACCGGCGACACCUAUGGCCAGGAGGGAAACACCAGUACGGGGACACAUGGCGCCCCUGCCACCAAUGGUGGCUACGGGAAGCACGGACACACCAGGACCACCGGGACGGGGAUGCACGGCGUCGAGACGGGUGAGAAGAAGGGUGACGUGGAGGACAUUGAUGACAAACUCCUUGGUGGCCAUGGGGACCACCAGCAAACUGCUGGCACCUACGGCCAUCAGGGACACAUCGCUACGGUGACGCAUGGCACCUCAGCCAUCGAUGACACGUAUGGGCAGCAGGGAAACACCGGUACGGGGACACAUGCCGUACCGGCCACCGAUGGUGCCUAUGGGCAGCACCGACACACCGGGGCCACCGGCACGGGGAUGCACGGCACCAACACGGGCGAGAAGAAGGACGUCAUGGAGAACAUCAAUGACAAGCUCCCUGCUAGCCAUGGGAACCACCAGCAGACAAGUGGCACCUACGGGCAGCAGGGACACACCGAUGUGGCGACGCAUGGCCCCACAGCCACCAGUGGCACCUAUGGGCAGCAAGAAAACACUGGUACGGGGACACAUGGCGCCCCUGCCAUCCAUGGUGCCUACGGGCAGCACGGACACACCGGGGCCAUUGGGGCGGGGCUGCAUGGCGCCGACACGGGAGAGAAGAAGGGCGUCAAGGAGAACAUCAAUGACAAGCUCCCUGGUGGCCACGGGGACCACCAACAGACUGGUGGCACCUACGGGCAGCAGGGACACACCGAUGCGGCGACGCAUGGCGCAUUAGCCACUGGCAACACCACUGUGCAGCAAGGAAUCAUCGGUACGGGGACACAUGGCGCCCCGGCCACCGAUGGUGCCUACGGGCAGCACGGACACACCGGAGCCACUGGCACGAGGAUGCACGGCAUCGACACCGGCGAGAAGAAGGGCAUCAUGAAGAACAUCAACGACAAGCUGCCUAGCGGCGACAAAGACCACCAGCACACCAGUGGCACUUACGGUCAGCAGGCACAAACCGGCACGGCGAUGCAUGGCGCCUCAGCCACGGGCGACACCUAUGGCGAGCAGGGACACACCGAAAUGACCGGCUGGGGGACGCACGGCAACAACGAGAAAAAGGGCGUCAUGGAGGACAUCAAGGCCAAGCUCCCCGGUGGCGACGAUGAUCGCCAGCAAACCGGUGACACCUAUGGGCAGCAGCGACACACCGACACUGCAACACAUGGCACCCUUGCCACCGGCGACACCUACGGGCAGCAGGGACACACCGGGAUAACCGACACGGGGACAUAUGGCACCGGCGAGAAGAAGGGCGCCAUGGAGAACAUCAAGGAGAAGCUCCCUGGUGGCCAUGGUGACCACCAACAGACUGGUGGCACCUACGGGAGCCAGGAAGACACCGAAAUGACUGGAAUCGGGAUGCAUAGCACCACGGCCACAGACGGCAUAGAUGGUCAGCAGGGACACACCGGAAUGACCGGCAGAGUGUCACACGACACCGACGAGAGGAAGGGUGUCAUGGAGAACCUCAAGGAGAAGCUCCCCGACGGCCAUGACGACCACCCGCAGACUGUUCGCACCGACGAGCGCCACGCCGGCACGGGGACGCAUGACACCCCGGCCACCGACGGCACCUAUGGGCAGCACGGACACACUGGAGUGACCGACACAAAGGCGUACGGCUCUGGCGGCACAGGCGAGAAGAAGAGCAUCAUGGAGAACACCAAUCAGAAGCUCCCCGGGGGCCAGAAUGACCGCCAGCAGACCGGUGACACCUACGGGCAGCAAGGACACACCGACACAGCGACGCAUGGCACCCCGUCCACCGGCGGCACCUACGGGCAGCACGGACACACCGGAGUGACCGAUAAGGGAACACAGGGCACCGACGGCAUCGACAAGAAGAAGGAUGCCAUGGAGAACAUCAAGGAGAAGCUCCCCGUUGGCCACGAUGACCACCAGCAUACUGCUGGCACCUACGGGCAGGAUGGACACACUGGAAUGACCGGCACGGAGAUGCAUGGCACCACGGCCACCGACGGUGGGCAGCAAGGACACAACGUAACAACUGGUACUGGGACACACGGCACCGACGGGGCCGGUGAGAAGAAGAGCCUCAUGGACAAGAUCAUGGAGAAGCUGCCUGGACUGAACUAA
RNAcentral lists this ribosomal RNA (2739 nucleotides) under Triticum aestivum (bread wheat). RNAcentral describes it as "partial small subunit ribosomal RNA". The record is from RNAcentral. Lineage: Eukaryota; Viridiplantae; Streptophyta; Magnoliopsida; Poales; Poaceae.